Molecule: small RNA, 470 nt
Filed under: Pan troglodytes (chimpanzee)
Lineage: Eukaryota; Metazoa; Chordata; Mammalia; Primates; Hominidae
Description: processed transcript
Source: RNAcentral
GAGGCUGGGAAGAUUGAAAGGGGCCAUGGAGAGGCUGCAGUCACAAUGAGGCCUCCAGAUUCAUGCCAUCAAAGUGCUUCAUGAUGACUGGAUUUUCACACCAUUUAUCCAAGGGCCCUAAUCAAUGGCAGCAGCAAGAAUGAAAGUAGACACAUUGGAAGCCAGAGAGUCACUGGGUGACUCCUGGAGCUACAUGCGAAGUUUACACAUCUUGUACAUUUCCAAAUUUAAUGAAAAAGGUGUUGAAAAGUCUCCUCUAGAGCUUUGGAAGGCUGAAUGCACUAAACAUGAAGAGCUUGAAAGCGAAGUUCAGGAAGAGUGACGAAUGGAUCAGAGGAGGAAUAUCAGAGCAAGAUUCCAUGGGAAAUCUGAGGCACAAGGUUAAAGAAAUUCUCCAGAAUUAUAUUUACACCUGGAAUUUAACUUCCCAGAGCACAGGGCUUUGUAGUUCUUGUUCACAGGCCUGUCCA